AAAUUAAUAAUUACAACUUUCAACAACGGGUCUCUUGGUUCUGGCAUCGAUGAAGAACGCAGCGAAAUGCGAUAAGUAGUGUGAAUUGCAGAAUUCAGUGAAUCAUCGAAUCUUUGAACGCACAUUGCGCCCUUUGGUAUUCCAAAGGGCAUGCCU
RNAcentral lists this ribosomal RNA (156 nucleotides) under Alternaria mali. RNAcentral's name for it is "5.8S ribosomal RNA". It matches the Rfam family "5.8S ribosomal RNA". From Rfam's summary of the family: 5.8S ribosomal RNA (5.8S rRNA) is a component of the large subunit of the eukaryotic ribosome. It is transcribed by RNA polymerase I as part of the 45S precursor that also contains 18S and 28S rRNA. Functionally, it is thought that 5.8S rRNA may be involved in ribosome translocation. The record is from RNAcentral. Lineage: Eukaryota; Fungi; Ascomycota; Dothideomycetes; Pleosporales; Pleosporaceae.